AACGAACGCUGGCGGCAGGCUUAACACAUGCAAGUCGAACGCCCCGCAAGGGGAGUGGCAGACGGGUGAGUAACGCGUGGGAACAUACCCUUUUCUACGGAAUAGCUCUGGGAAACUGGAAUUAAUACCGUAUACGCCCUACGGGGGAAAGAUUUAUCGGGGAAGGAUUGGCCCGCGUUGGAUUAGCUAGUUGGUGGGGUAAAGGCCUACCAAGGCGACGAUCCAUAGCUGGUCUGAGAGGAUGAUCAGCCACAUUGGGACUGAGACACGGCCCAAACUCCUACGGGAGGCAGCAGUGGGGAAUAUUGGACGAUGGGCGCAAGCCUGAUCCAGCCAUGCCGCGUGAGUGAUGAAGGCCUUAGGGUUGUAAAGCUCUUUCACCGAUGAAGAUAAUGACGGUAGUCGGAGAAGAAGCCCCGGCUAACUUCGUGCCAGCAGCCGCCGCAG
RNAcentral lists this ribosomal RNA (447 nucleotides) under uncultured bacterium. Its description in RNAcentral is "partial 16S ribosomal RNA". It matches the Rfam family "Bacterial small subunit ribosomal RNA", at positions 29 to 523 of the family's 1533-position model. The record is from RNAcentral.